RNAcentral lists this ribosomal RNA (578 nucleotides) under Rhizophagus intraradices. Its description in RNAcentral is "eukaryotic LSU rRNA". It matches the Rfam family "Eukaryotic large subunit ribosomal RNA", at positions 204 to 637 of the family's 3401-position model. The record is from RNAcentral. Lineage: Eukaryota; Fungi; Glomeromycota; Glomeromycetes; Glomerales; Glomeraceae.
CAUGGAGGGUGAGAAUCCCGUCCGGCUGAUCAUCGCGUUUUACGAUACGCUUUCUAAGAGUCAAGUUGUUUGGGAUUGCAGCUCAAAAUGGGAGGUAAAUUUCUCCUAAGGCUAAAUAACGGCGAGAGACCGAUAGCGAACAAGUACCGUGAGGGAAAGAUGAAAAGAACUUUGAAAAGAGAGUUAAACAGUACGUGAAAUUGUUGAAAGGGAAACGAUUGAAGCCAGUCGUACCUAUGGGUAAUCAACCUUUCGGGUGCGAUUAUGUGGAGCGUGAGGAGUUAAACGCCUUCAUGCCUGCGUAUUUGUACUCUGGGGUGUACUUGGACGUGCGGUAGGUUAACAUCAAUUUCGGAUGUCAUAAAGUGGCUGGAGGAAUGUAGCUUCGGUCUCGUACUGAAGUGUUAUAGCCUUUGGUAGAUGUGAUGACCGGGAUUGAGGAUUGCAACGAAUACCUUUUGGGCUAUCCGCCUGAUCUCUGAAAGUUGCUCUGGUGCCGAAAGCUUGCUUACGGUUAUCAAAGUUGACGUUCAAAGGGUUAGAACGGGUUAAAUUCGUUAAGGAUGUUGACGUAAUGG